This 368-nucleotide RNase P RNA is filed under the name Deltaproteobacteria bacterium. RNAcentral's name for it is "RNase P RNA component class A". It matches the Rfam family "Bacterial RNase P class A". Rfam says of the family: Ribonuclease P (RNase P) is a ubiquitous endoribonuclease, found in archaea, bacteria and eukarya as well as chloroplasts and mitochondria. Lineage: Bacteria; Pseudomonadati; Myxococcota; Myxococcia. The record is from RNAcentral.
UGAAGUAGUACAGGUGGCCGCUCUUCUUUACGAAGGGAGGAAAGUCCGGGCUCCACAGGGUAUGACGCUGGAUAACGUCCAGCGGGGGCGACCCCAGGGAAAAGUGCCACAGAGAGAAGUCCGCCUGCCUCGGCAGGUAAGGGUGAAAGGGUGAGGUAAGAGCUCACCGGGUCCGUCGGUGACGGCGGAUGCCAGGUAAACCCCGUCAGGAGCAAGGCCAAAUAGGGAGGCGUUAAGGGCGACCCGCCCGUGCCUCCGGGUUGGCUGCUCGAGGCUGCCGGUAACGGCAGUCCCAGAUGAAUGGCCAUCACCCGGUAAGGGGUAACUCUUUCCGGGAACAGAACCCGGCUUACGGACUACUUCAGCCA